Molecule: small RNA, 143 nt
Filed under: Serratia symbiotica str. Tucson
Lineage: Bacteria; Pseudomonadati; Pseudomonadota; Gammaproteobacteria; Enterobacterales; Yersiniaceae
Description: isrN Hfq binding RNA
Rfam family: isrN Hfq binding RNA
Source: Rfam by way of RNAcentral
GAAUCACGGGCUCGUCACGCCGGGUAUCGGGCUGAUAGAAAAAUACUGUCCUGCUCAGUGAUAACGUCCUGCAUGCCUGACGUGUGCUCAUCGCAAACUGCGAGACCAGAUAACGGACGAACUCACGCUUUAUCACUGGUUUU